Molecule: ribosomal RNA, 441 nt
Filed under: uncultured prokaryote
Description: bacterial SSU rRNA
Rfam family: Bacterial small subunit ribosomal RNA
Source: RNAcentral
CCUAGGGGGGCAGCAGUGGGGAAUCAUGGUCAAUGGGCGAAAGCCUGAACCUGCGACGCCGCGUGAGUGAUGAAGGUCGUAAGAUCGUAAAACUCGUUUCAGGGAUCUUAAAGCCUGUCUGUCAACAACAGGCAGGUCUGACUCUCCCUGGAAGAAGCCCCAGCCAACUACGUGCCAGCAGCUGCGGUAAUACGUAGGGGGCGAGCGUUAUUCGGAAGUACUGGGUGUAAAGGGUAUGUAGGCGGCCCUUCAAGUCGCGUGUCAAAGUCCAGUGCUCAACGCUGGGUGUGCACGCGAUACUGACGGGCUUGAGGGCUGGAGAGGUGAGCGGAAUUCCCGGUGUAGUGGUAAAAUACGUAGAGAUCGGGAGGAACACCAGCGGCGCAGGCGGCUCACUAGACAGUUUCUGACGCUAAGAUACGAAAGCGUGGGGAGCAAACA